RNAcentral lists this long non-coding RNA (23689 nucleotides) under Gallus gallus (chicken). Its description in RNAcentral is "lncRNA (ENSGALG00010012764.1)". Lineage: Eukaryota; Metazoa; Chordata; Aves; Galliformes; Phasianidae. The record is from RNAcentral.
CUGUGGUGACAGCAGGCAGCAGAGGUCUCAGCCAGCCCCAGCAGGCAUGCUAAGUGAUAGAUGAACACAACAUCUCACUCUACAGCAUUUCAGUUCAGUUUCAGUGUGCAUUAAGGUUUGCCUGUGCUGCAGAAUCCUGGUGCAGCCUCCAAAGAAAAACCCUGUUGUGGAAUGUGCAAGCUGGUGUUUAAUACAUGAGCCCUUCGCAGCAGGUUGAGCAAUCAGAAGCGCUGCCGCUUCCCUGCAUGCCCCGGGAACUGCGGACUGUUCAGGUGCUGUGGGGCUACAAGGACAAUCUGAUCUGCUUCAGCUUCUUCUAUGCUCUUUGCUGGGUCACUUCUUAGGAAGAAGGUGGGUCAUCCCAUAUGAUUUCUUUCCCCUCCCUGCCUUGGCCACCAUGUCCACCCUGGGAAGGUGAUUGCCAUGGCCCAGAAUGACGUUUCUCCCUCUUAGCAAAGUGAGCUUGCAGCGCUGAGCCCCUCUCCCCAGACUGAGUGCUGUCAAAAUUGCUGCAUUCCAAAGGAGCCUCAUUCUACAGGUAUUUCCUUUCUGCUCUGCUAUGUGUCUGUGUAUCAGUUAGGAGGCUGAGAACAGCUGAGCAUCAGCGAUCUCCUUGUGCUGUGUUCCAUCCUGCGGCUCGUCGCUCCAUCACUGAGGUACAUUAUCCUACUCUCUAAACCAAGCAUGUGCCCAGGAGAUAAACCAAUUGUUUUUUUGUGCUGCUUUCUAUUUAGAUCCAUAGGCUUCAUUUCAGCUCUUUGGCAAUGCUUCUUCUAACCUUGCUGCAAGAAGUCCUUGUGGCCAAUGCAUCCUCCCUAACGAGGCUGACGGGCUGCUGGCGAAAGGUGCCAGAGGAUGGAAGCUGGCAUGCUGAGGGCUUCUGUCCUGCGGUGCAGGCUGCUGGGAUCUGCCUUCCAUUGUGCUACUGAAACAUCAUCAAAGCCAGGAAAUGGGAGUGCCAUUCCAGUGAAAACCUUUGCAGUGCUGCAGCAGAGAGCCUUAAAUUCAAAGCAGUACUUUAAAAAUCAGAACUAGAAGGCGCUGCAUUAGGCCAGUGAAUGAUUCCAGCUUACACUGCCCACACAUUUGGGAAGGCUGCUUCAUCACUUCACUGCUACAUUUGUCACCUGACACCUGAGGACAGGUCACUGGAUCACAGUUCCUUACUGCCCUGCAGCUGGGGAAGGAGUUUGCAGCCCUUCUGCUGAGAAGACAGGGCUGGGUCUGCAGCCAUUAAAAGGAGCAGAAGAAGAUUUCCUCGAAUUCCUGCAUUGCUGUGAGCUGACACAAGGGCACGGCGCUCCACGCAGCAACCACCAGAUGUGCAGUGCAGGGUGUGUGUCGUGGAGCUAAUUUGGUUGUUGCCUAGAGAGCAAGGAGUUAAAGAGCAAAUGGUUUGCAGAUAGGUGUCUGGAGAAAAUCCUGAGCAGCACUGUUCCUUGGAUGAUUCACUUGCACAUUCCUGCUGCAGUAACCAGAAGCUGAAGGAGCUGAGCUCAUAGGCUGAGUCUGCCUGUGCACCCUAUGGUAGUUUGCACGGUAUGGAUUUGCUAAUGAGGGAGGGCCACAGUGAUCAUUACUUAUGCAGCAUCUCAGGAAAGAUUAAUGGCUGUAUAUCUGGCUCUUCUCAUAGCCCAUAAAUCUUCACUGCAGUUAAUGAGUCUUUAUUGAUUCUGUCAGGUAGGGUAAUUUCCAUUUCUUUCAUCAAGGCACGUUAAAUACACGCUUAUCUACUUUUCUUUUCUUAUUAUUAUUUGUUUCCAGUUAUCUCUUCGCUUGUCUAAUCAAGUCUGGAAAAAAUAAUUGUCAUUAAUUCACUGACCUGAACCUGGGCCGAGCUGUUCUGUGCACUGGCUGAAUGUGACAACUAAUCCAACAGAAAUAUGCAUUAUAUUCCCCUACAUUGCCACCUUGAAACGUCCCGGCACUGCCUCCCUGCAGUACUGGUGCUGCCACAGGGACAGGGACACGAGCUGAAGUCUCCAUGAAGUCCUGUAUGGAACAAAGGCCAGAAGGAAGUCAUGAUUUCAGUGUGUCUACUGUACUGGAAGGAAAAACAGAACAAACAGAUCCUCCUUGAAACUCUUCCCACAACCAAACUUUUAAUGUUUUUAUGAGAGAUCUGCACAUGUAUUCACAUUUAUCAGCAUAUGCAAAUCUCCCACUGAAGGGAAGCAGGCUGUGUCAGAGCAGUGGAGGUAGAAGCUGACAGUAGAUCUCUACAGCUGUCAAAACAACGGCCUGGUAGAAUGCAGCCAUCAAAACACGAGUCUUGUGUGCACAUCUCAGACUUGGCUGUUCAAUCUCUUGCACCAGAAGCUCCUAUGGCAAAUGUUUUUGAAACACGGAUGAUCCGAGUGCAUCAGAAAGAAAGCAAUAGCUGUGACAUCUUGGUCUCCAUCCUCAAAAGGCACUGGGAAUUCCAAACAAUCUAGUAAUUGGAAUUCAUAGCUAGUUUCUGUAUGAAAAGUCAGCUGUAGAAAAUAGUGUGUUUGAAAGUAUCCCCUACUCCAUACAUCAGCAUGUAACCCGGAAGCUUUCCUUCCUUGCAGUUCCCUUUGGGUUGCUUUUCCCAGUAAGAGGUCCUACCCCCUUUUUGACCAGAGGCUCUUGUGGUAAAGGGGAGCGCUGUGGGACUUCCAAGCUGGAGUGGAGGGAGAAGCGGGUAGUGAGGCAAUGCUGUGCUAUUGGAAGUUGUGCUGUUGUAAACCAUGGGAACAGCUGACCUGAGGAAUCUGCGAGAAACAAUCCUCUAUCGUCAGACACUGAAUAAUCUAAUGACUUAUUUCAGUUUCUUAAAAAUUGCCUUUUCAUCAGUUGAAAGUUGCAAAUUGCUGGUUUAAUGAGUCCCAAGCAGAGAAAAUAGAAGUAAAAAUAUAUGCAUCUUAUCUAAUAAAUGCUGAGCACUAGACAGGCAUGACUAAAGCAAACUAACCUGCAGAUUUUAAAUCUCUUAGGAUCUGUUGCAGACAGCUUGGUUCAAAACAGCCAACGAAAGAACAGAGCUGCAGCAGGUCUGCCUCGGCACCACUUGCUGCAGCUCCUGGAGGAGCAGCGUUGCAUUUUCUGUUUGGUAAACUGCUGACAGUGCUAACAGUACCAUCUUUGAAACAGCAAACUGAGCAUGUGCCAUCCCUUUGAAGGACACAUGCUGAAAUGCAGGAUGAGUAGUUCCAGAUAAGCCAGCACAGUAUGUCAGUACCUUCAGCGUGUUGCACAAACUUGCUGAUAGGGGACAAAACAAAAACCACAGAAACAAAAGCAGCUCAACAUAUUGUUCUGGUGAAAUGAGAACUCUCUCCCCAGUGUCUGUAUGCUUUGUUUAAUGGAUCAUGGGAGCCUCAGGAUUCACCAGUGUCUCACGAAGCUGCACCAGGCGAUGGCAGAUGGCAGCAGGAGCACGCGGUGCAAGAAUGCGCCCUUCUCUUAAAUGCAGCAUGAGGGUGGAGGCCCUGGGCUUCUUUCCACGCAUGACUCAAAUGAAUCUUCUGCCUAAUGAGUAGCAUUUUGAAGUCAGCUUAAAAAUCCUAUAGUGAUCCUAUCUAACCAGCUUCUCCUACGUAAAGAUUAAUUUUUUAUAAUGGUGGUUUUCUUUCCAGUUGCCCAGGGCAGUUAUUUGCUAGGGCAGCCUCCUAUCAGCUGAGAUAACAAGGGCAAAGACUGACAGUCCAGCAGAGUCUGGGUUGUGCUCAUUUCUGGGGGAGCAGCGGAUACUAUUAAUGGUGUUCAGGCCUAAAUGGAACCAAGUGUCUCAUUGGGAAAAUAUGUUGGGGAGAAAGGGCUGUGCUAGGGGGCUGCAUACCCAGAUUGUGCUCCUGUUGGAUGACUGGCUGAUAAAACCAGCACUCCUAUAUAACCUUGCAAAAGUCAUUAAUGAAGCUUCAGUGCCUCACAGUGAUGGUGGUGCUCCCAGCUGAUGGAGACAUGCUGGAGCAAGCUGCAGUAACAGUGUCUGACUGGCAGUCUUCCCUGCUGGGUGCUGCUGUCAGGAAGGCACAGUAGAGACUACGUAGGCAUAUUGAAAUAGGGUAUGAGAUCAAAUCAUCUAAAAGAUCUGCAAGGACCCUUGUUGUCUUCUUCCUUGCAGUUUGCAAAUUGCUGCUGUAUACUGAUUUUAUCUGAUUUCAAAUGUAGCUUAAGAGACUGUUUGGUAGGCAAGAGCAUCUCUAAACUAGUGGUGAGCCUUUGGGGGCUGUGUGGCAGGUGACACAGGCUGGAGGUUUCCAUAAGUAUAGGAUCCAGUUGGCAGCAUAGGCUGGUGCCCUUGGAGGUGGUAUUGCUGCAAUGGGCGAUCUGUGUCCUCAGCUGAGCACUGGCACAGAACUAGCUGUGGAUGGCAGAGCCUCGAUUUCUUCUUCCAAGUAGCAAUGGGCUGCAAAAAUUAACAUGAGUAAAAUCCAUCUCCAUCCUAGGAACAUGUAAACAUCUGGACGAGUAGUUAUGAAGAUUAAUGUUAUGCACAGGGUAAGAAUUCCCACUGACAUUUGCUCAGUUUGCCCAAGCAAGUUAGUGGAAACCUCCUGUGAAUAUGAACCGUACUCUGCAGUGCUGCGCAGGCAUUUAACAGCUUGGAUGCCAGUCUCCUUACAGGCACAUCAGUAAGUCUUAGUCUUUAAUUGCCUUAAAAUAUAAUAUUGGAAGAAAAAAAAAGUCAUAGAGGUAUGUGUAACUUUUAAGACUAAGUGGAAAAGAAGUAAACAACAAUAAAGUUAUCCCCAUCUUUGGACUUAAAAUCAGUCCUGACUGAGGCAGUUCUUCAAGGAGAGUGGGUGACAGCUGUCUGUCAGGUCUGAGCAACACGUCUUCUGCACUGAUGAUCAAUGCCUGAAAUAACGCUGAGGUGCAGCAGUAGCUGUGUAUCAUUCAUAGGAGGGUGGCAGCUGCUCCAAGUACAGCACUGAGCGUGAAUGCCUGCUGUCUCGUGGUCAGUGGUUACUGCUGUGCCUGAAGCCUGGCUGUGCCUGUGGUCAGAUGCUCUGACAUCAAAGGUACUGUUGGCUCCUUUGGGCUGGUGAACUUUAUUGAAAGCAUGCCAUGUUUGGAGUCCCAUGAGCAGGUAACGUGCAUCCAUCUGAGCGUGCAGGUUUGAACGUGUCUGCCAUAAGGUAUUUGAAUCUGGAGGCAAUGUGAUUCUUGCUAUGCAAUAAAAUCAAGAAUACACAGUCUUUUAGUGUCUAAACCCCUCCCAGUCCUCCCCUAUUCUGAACGUACUGUUAUCAUUACACCGAUACUUGCUGUGUAAUACACUUUAAAUGAGUGUGAAUGUGCUAUGGACUAAUGUGGUUAUCUCCAUAUGGCAGGAAGUUGCUUGGUCGGAGGUCAUCUCCAUACUGGUGUAAUUCCAGGCAUGUUGCUGGUUUUAAUAAUAUAAUGACGAUAAUUGAUGUUCUAAAACUGGUAAGGUCAGUGUUCACUGGCUGCUACAUUUACUUGGCAGCCAGCUCAGCAGUAUUAACACGAAAUGAGGCACAAAUCCCACGUCCUGCUCCCAGGCCUGAUAGCAGAAUGGGCGCUCCAAUGAAUCGCAGUGCUGUUUACUCCUUUGGCACUCCUUUCUUGCUGACCUCUGCCCAGGUGUGCCAUGCAGCAGGGUAAGACGGGGUGAAGCCAGGGCCAACCUGAAAAGCCCUCACGUGGCAGUUUUGCCAUGACGAGUUAAUCACAGCAUUUGCUGGUAUUAUUCCAGACUUUUUUUUCCCCCUUUGGAUGUGUGCAGGUUCACAGAGUAAAGGCAGGACGACUGUUGAAUGUGUAUUAAUGGCUAUAAGAAAUAUAGGUCCCAGUUUGCCAGUUGUUCUGCCAGGUUCUCAGACAGGAAUGUUUAGGGAGCUUUUUCUCGGCAUGGUGCAAAGCCUGCAGCUAAGAAAAGAGCCCAGGGAAGAUAAUCUGCCUUUUUCCAUGUUCAGCAUUUCCCACCCGGUGUGAACCUAAAUCAUGUGGAUUUCACUACUGGCUCUGCAAUGUUACGGGGAGAUAAGGCGGUAACAACUCAUUUGUAUCCCCAGAUGAGAUAAACCAGAAGCACAUCUCCCCGUUUGUGAGUGGCUUCCUAUCAGAGGUGAGAAUAACUGCGCGGCACUAAGCUGGCAGUCAGCAGUGAUUAAUAAUAGUAAAUCUUUUGCAUAAAUAGAAAGGUGUCAUUGUGUGUAUUUCACUUACAGUGUUUCUAAUGUGUGUCUGUAAUUAAAUUACAUCUGGUUUUCUGUCCAAGAAAUUAAUGUGCACUUACAUAAUGUGUUGGUGCUCUUAUGUUCAGGAGGGGGAAAUGAGUGCUCUGCCUUUUCAAGUGGAGAUUGCUUCAUCCAUAGCUUUUUGGGGGAGUGGAAAUAGAUUUAUUCUAUCUUUGCACGUUCGUCUGAUUCGGUGCUGAAAUCACUGGAGCAAAUUCAGCAGCCCCGGAUGCCUUCAGUUCAGGAUCCCGUUCUGAAUGAUGAUGGAAGAGAAGAAGCGUGUUACUUUGUGCUAAGUAAGAGAAGGGGACUGUAUUGAACACCGAGUUUGCUCGUUUGAUUUGUAAGCAUAUGAAAUAGCCUGCCACAUUCUUCAACUAAGCACGUAAAUUACUUGAAUCGUGGUUGUGUGUUCUGUGUUUGCUGUUACCAUUGGAAGCAGUUUUAUCAGGCUUCAGUCCCUGUGGUACUCGAGAAAGUUGUAAGAAUGCAAAGCUAUCUGAAGGUCAUUUGCAAUCUUAACAGCAGAAAUUACUAGCUGCUGUCAGCUACUAUAAUGGUGUUGAUAUGUGGCGUAAUAGUUUUACAGUGAAAUGGGAGAUGUAUUGAAGGUAUCUGAAACAGAAGCAGAAAACGUGGCUUUGGUGUGCAGGCAGGAGGAUAUUUCAGUGUCAGCUCUGAACACGAUCCCCAUAUUACACUGAGACGCAACGACUCCUUAAUGAUGGAGGCUGCUGACAGUCAGACAGGCGCUUGGAAAUUCCUCUUCACCAAGUGUUUUGGAGGCAGCUGGCAGACUUCCAGAAGUGUUCUGCUGGAGCUGCACAGCAGGCACACUGAACUAGCCUUGGUUGUGUGCCAGUUCACUACGUGGCAGUGGAUCAGGAUUCUCCAGAGAGGCUCUGCAGUCUCCAUCCCUGGGAGACCUUCAAGAGCAGAGUGGUUGGUCCUCAGCUGUGAUCUCAUAGCUGACCUGGGCUAAGCGGGAGGUUGGAUUGGAUGACCUUGUGAGGUCCUUUCCAGCCACGGUUCUCCUGUGAUAACCUCCUGAGUAGGCUCUGCUUUACAUGGGAGGUGGGAGGAAUUUAUAAACCAUAAUGUUAGUUUAAUUUUUUCUUUUCACAGUGGGUUUGCCUUUUUGAAGUAUCCCACUAGGAAUUCUGCAUCUUGGCUCAGUCGUGGCUUGGAGAAUAACCGAGUGUUUCAGGUCAUUUCCCAGUGAGGGAAUACAGUGGGUUCCUGAACAAGGCGGGUAAAGGCAGCUGCUCCACCAUAGCCUUGCACUGCCUGCUUGGUGUUGUUUAGCAUAAGGCAUAACAGCCAGGGAGAAUUUCAUAAUUUAUUUUUUGAUGGCUCGUGCCAUAGUCAAAACAGAUGACAUGUCUGCUAAUCCUGCAUCCAGAUUGCUUUGGUGGGUUGGGGUGGGCAUUGCAUCAUUUUGUUCUCCUAAACUCUUGUGUUUUUUGUCGUUUAGGAUCUGCCAGAACAGCAGUGCCCUGGAAAUAUCUGACUGCACAAAAAUCAAAAGGAAAUUGGAGAUUGGCUUUGUUAAGGACACCUCCUGUUCUAUGGCACUGUCACUCAAUCGCUGUGUGGGAGUGCAUACAUUGUCUACAGGUGGUAGUGAGGAGGAGUCAAAGCUUCAGAGAGAGCUGCAGGAACAGCUGGACCUCAUAAGAGCUGCAAAAGAAGAUUCCCCAGCUAAAACAUGUCCAUGGAGAGCCAUAUGUGCAUAGCUGUUAGGAUUUUGGAAUCAGUGUGGUGGAAUGACAGGGAGAUGAUGGGUAAAUAUUAAUUGAGAGAGCAACCCCUGCCAAGAAAUUCUUUGCGAUCGUGUUACCUUCUCUUCAUGCAAAAUAUUUACCAAGUCAAAUACUGCCAUUUAAUUUACCAUAACUUGGUAGUCAUUACACAGGGACUUGAAGAGAAGGCCCAGCGGCCUGGCAGCCUCCUGGUGUGCCUUUGGGCUGUCCCAGAGGCAGUGAGACUGUCAGCAUGGCAGCGUGUGCUGGGAAGCUGCUUUCCAUUCUAUAUGCAGUAUCACAGGGCUGUGCUGAGCCAUGUGCCAAGCUGGCACCUCGUCCUGGCCACCUUUGGGCCAGGGGAUGGAAGGGUAAGAUGAGCUGAGCUGAUAGGUCUCUGUCAUCUGUCUGAAGGGCUUGCAGAAAUCUAGUGAAUGGGGCACCGUGUUUGGGUUUUCUUUCCAGAACUGGCAAUGCACAGGUGUAGGGUUGGUAGCAUGGAGAAGGCCAGACGAGGAAUAGAAAAAAGAGGGAAAGUUCAUUUUUGCAAUUAUUUCUGCACUUCUGUUCCUAAGACCUCUUGUUUUGUUUGUUUGUUUGUUUGUUUUGUUUUGUUUUGUUUUUAUGUUUCAUUUGCUUGGAGUCUGAGCUGGGAUAUCACAGGGAUGCUUCUCUCACUUCUGAUUCAGUAGAGUUGUAUUUCAGGCACUGAUUUGCAUUGACAGGCAGAAAAUACUUCUGUUUAAUUAGAAUAAAUCAUUUUAAAGUUGAAGAUGAAGAUGACCCUGGAAGAGUGCCACUCACAUCUUUAGUUGAUGCCUCAUGCCCACAAUUGAUGUGGGAACCCUAUUCCCAUGCCGACGGCACAGGCCAUGUGUGCACUGAGUAAUCACAAAUUUACACAUCAGCAUUACUCAACCUCCAGGCAGCGUGCGGUCAGUUUUCAUUUGCACUCUUAAAAUUGUUUCCAUUUAACACCCUUAAGCAGCUCUACGAAUUACAGUGAAAUAUAAAAUGACCCUCACAUUUGCUCUCCUGCUUAUUCAACACGACCGUUCCCCGCUCGGCGUGGCAGCGUGCUUUUCAUGUGGCUGCCCAUAUGCCCUGCACAUGACUGUGAUCUGGCUCCCAAAAGGGUAUGUUGUGAUCUGCUCGCAUGUGCCAAUUCACAUAUCUAAACGUUUUCAUAAGGGGAACCCCUUUGUGUUAGUCAUCUGGUUGUCAAACAAGACCUGGCUGUGAUCCUGGACCUGGCACUAGAUGAAAUAUGUGCACUUUAAACAUUUCAUACUGAAACUGAUGGGAAUGGGCAAUUCCUCAGUACAUUUUCUCAAGGUUUUUAAACAAUAAAUGUCAACCUAAGGGCAAAGCGAGACAGAUUUCAGAUUAAAGAGACGGGCUUUGCUUAACAUCUAUAAAUCCCUUAGUCCCAACCUCCUUCAUGGUUUUUCAAACAAGGAACAAGGAAAGGCUAUGUCAAGCGCGGUGGACACUUUUGUCAACACAACUUCUGCCUUUGGUAGCAUGAUAGAAAGAUUUCAAAAAUAGAUUUUUCUGAUGGAUUCAUGACUUGGCAUCCCGCAGAGAAUCUAGUAUUCUUCCAAGCAAAGCUAAAGGUUUGUGUUAGAAGGCUAGCAAAGCCAGUCAAAGAGCCUUUCAUCCUCAAGAUUACUAAAAUAUUCCUUUGUUUAUUUUUCUCCUUCAAUUACUUUUCCUGUCUUGGUUUAAUCUGUAGUGCUGAAGCUUGUCAGCACCUAUAGCCUUUUGUUUAGGAUAGAUGCCUUGGGAGCAUGAAUAAAAACAAUUUUCAUGUAGUGUCUCCUUGUCACAGCUGCUGCCUGAAGCCCAUCGACUUCUCUUUCCAAAGACCCGAUUAUGCACACACAAACAGAACAGAGCCUGGAGCCAGCAGUUUGAUAUUGCUUAAUGCCAGCGAUGAGCCCUCGUUAACCCGGUGCUCCAUCAUUUGCAAUAGAAGCAGCAAAUUUGUUUUCUCUCCCAGUUUCCAAAGAAAAAAAUGUGUCAGAAUGCUUGUCUUGACUGUAACUUAGUGAAAUGUUUAAAUAUUUUAGAAUGUAAAUUCUAGAAUUUGCAGCUGCGGGGAGAAGGAAAAUGAAACUUGUAUUUGGAAAAUUAAUUCUCAAACAAAAAUUCCCUGUAUAUGUUUUCUUUUUCCAGGAAAGUGAUUUCUUGAAACUUCAGCAUAUGCUUUUCAUUUGUGUGAGCUGGCACUGCCACGAGCCAGAGGAGGCUUGCAGCAAGCGGGGCCAUGCGGGACUGGCACCUGCUCGGCUGUGCUCGGGUGACUUCUGGACCUUCUGGUACUGUGAGUGAGCCGCACUUGAUGGAAAGAUGCUGAGCAUUUUUUCUUGACCCCAUGUCAUUGUGGAGUGGUUGCAGCUUGCUGUCACGGGCAGUCUUGUCUUGCAGAGAGCAGCAUAUCCCUGCAGAAAGAGAAAUGCUGUGGUAGCUCUAGAUGCAAGAGAAGCUUCAAGGAAAGUUUGCAUUUAAUUAUUGUUAGAAAUGUGCAGCAAAACAGAUUUCAUUGUUUUUAGCUCUUACAAAGCCAUAUGCCUAUGUCUCUGGGUUCCAAAACCACAUAACGAACAAAACAAAACAAACAAACAAAAGCAAGACCACAAGCAAGACCACAUAGCAGUAAUUAAAUGUCUCUGUUCCAGAAUAGGGUGCGUACUGUGAUCAAGACUGGCAGUAGCAGGGAAGCCAGGGUGCAUAGCUGAAGGAGGAGAGCAGACAGGAGCAAUGGGCAGGGUUUGCAGGGAAUGAGGAGCGUGGGUCUGUGUGCACCCUGGGAAGGGGCUCGUAACCAAGCACACAGUACUGGAACCUGCUGUGUGGUUGUUUGCAGCUGGAAAAAUGCAAUGGAGACAUGAUUCCUCAUGUAAUUCUUAGGUUGAAUCAGUUGGACCUAUUCUUUGCUUACUCAUUCAAAACUAUCAUUUUAUUCUGUCCCAGCGAGCUGAAGCAGACUGGCUUACUUCUCAUAGGGUGUCCAUCCAGCUGCCUUGAAGACAGCAGAAGGAACUAGAGAUUGUGGUCACAGUUCAGUGACUGAGUGAAGGGAUGAAGGUCAUUCCUCUCACUGAGACAGUCUCUUCAUACUCCCUGUCACCGCUUCUCUGCUCAGUGUUGUUCCUGCUAAUCGGGAUGCUUUGAAAUAGAGAGAGAGGAUAGUGGGAGGUGCAAGAAGAAAGACUGAAUUGAAGGCAGAAGAGAGCACAGUGGGGAUACAGACAGAAAAACAGGCUACGUGCUGAGCACAUUUAAAGGAGCACAGCUGGAACAGUGCUGGAGAGUAACAAAACUAUCUUUCCAUGUGUGUUUGCCUGUUCCCGUGUUAUUUUUCCCCAGUACUGCAUACAGCAUGGUUUCCCCACAAGGUUAAAGAUCACAAUAAUGUUUUAUGUAGGUAGCAGAAUACCCUGCGUGGAGGAAGUGGUACAUGAUUUUACUUAGAGAACAGAGAUUUCAUGGUUUUUAACACAUGCAAGGAAAUUUGUCUACUGGCAUCUGUUGCGGAGAUGGUAUCCCUUUGACACAAGUCAGGAAGCAAAAGCAUCUGUGGCUGUAAGGACAGUGCUUGCAGAAAACACUUGUGCAGAUAUCUUUAUUCAGGUCUGGUUCCCAUGUAGAAAGAGGCAUGUCCUCAGGAUGGCUGCUGAAUGCCAUCAGCACUGGGAGAGAAAAGAACAGAUGUAUGGCUGUAAACCGAGAUGUGAAAAAGCAGGAAUCUGAAGUUAGCUUGAAAGUUAUUUGGGCUGGGGUAUUGGUGGGAAGUGUCAGUGGGCAGCAGCUCAGAACCUGCAGUAACUGCUUGGCUGCCUGGCUCUUUCUUCAGCAAUCUCACUUGAGUGUUUUCAUGUGCAAGCAGAGGACACUGAUCUGCCCUGUCUUCCACACAUGUGCAUUCAUUCAGUGCAGUUACCUGUGUUGCUGUAGUAUACCUGCCCCUUUGGACUUGAGCACAAAUGUAUCAGGUAAAUGCAGGUGGAUGCAGCCACCGGUAAAGAAGUUGGUUUUUUUUUUCAUUGUGAUUGAUGCGUGGAUAGCAACCCUAUCCCAGUCUUACUAUUGGAUCAUCAGUCAAGACUUGAGGACUGCUGAAAGUAUGUCCUCAUCCCUAAGGUGUUGCAGUUCAGUGCUGGACCCGUCCAAGCUGAGACAAACUGAUUUUUGCAUUCAACAAAGCAAUGAUAGGACAAGAGGGCAUGGCCUCAAGUUGUGCCAGGGGAGAUUCAGGCUGGAUAUUAGGAAGAAUUUAUUUCCAGAAAGAGCAAUGAGGCAUUGGCACAGGCUGCCCAGGGAGGUGGUGAAGUCAUCAUCCCUGAAGGUGUUUAAAGAAAAGGCAGAUGUAGCACUUAGGGACAUGGUUUAGUGGGCAGUAUUGAUGGUAGGUGGAUGGUUGGACUAGAUGAUCUUAGAGGUCUUUUCCAACCCUAAUGAACCUGUGAUUCUGUGAAUGCAUGUGGAGUAUAUGACUGGCAGAAAGGACGGAUGUUGGGACGCGAAGCCUGAGUUCAGGUCUGAUACCAAAUGACUCCUGCAAAUUGGGCAGAGUAGGCUUCUGCUCUCUCCAUGCUUAAUUUCCUAACACUGUUUGGAGCUAGUUGGGAGCAGGAGAUAGUGAGCUGUCCAGAAAAACAACCAUUCCAGGUGCCGUGAUGAGUGUGGAGUAUACAGGCAUUGCACAGAAAGCAGUGACAGCAUGGUCUGCAUUAUCUGGUGAGGUGGUACAUCAUCUGCAUACCUGUGUGAUUCUAUAUGUGUGUAUCAGCAGCCUAUUGUUACAACGUGCUUAUGUGGCAAUUCGUUUGUGGAGUGUACCUUGUGCUGGUGUUCCACAGUAUUAAUGUUCUCAAGCAUGGGAAGACAUCUGUCAAGCAAGCACUAGUAAAUACCAUGCAGCUGUACUUUGUCAGGGUUCCAUUUUGCAUUUCCCUCUUUUCUCUACCUCAACACUCCUUCAGAUCACACUGACAUCAGUUGUGAUUAUGGCAAAAGAAGAUAACUCCUGUUAACCCUGUCAGAUGCUUGCAUAAGAUGAAGGCAUUUUCUUAAUGCACUCAUAAUCUAUAACCAGUUGUUUUUAAAGCCAUUUGAGAACCGUACAGAGAAGGCAUUUUGCAUUUGGUCAGUCAGAAGUUGGUAACUGUUUUAGAAGCCUGCUGGAAGGAAGACAUCAAGAAAAGCUUUUGCAAAGCUGUGUUUUCACCUCACAGUGCUUUGCAGAGAUGCAUUCUUGGGUUCGGUUCAUAUGGGUUCAUUUCUCUGACUUUCACUUUGAAUUUUGGAAUCAAAGGCAUUUUAAAAUUUUAGAUCAAACUUAUUAGAAAACACUGUAUCUCACCUGGUUUCAGCUCUUUAAGUAGUGAAAAGCAGUGCCUCCCCUGCUGUGAUCCUGAUACAAAUCUGUAAGUCAUCACGCCAGCGCGUUUGAAGCUGGGCCUAGCACUUCUGUCCAGAGUACAGCGUUGCUCAGAAAGUUCAUGGCUUCACCUUUGAACAGGGUGUUGCAGCGAAACAGGCAGCAGGCCGGAUUUCUGGGUAGAUGGCAAAGACAGCACCCAGCUUUCAUUUUGGGGAUUUUCCUAGCAUAAAGCUGCCCGAGCCAGAAGGCAGUUUGCGGCCACAGAUCCCUGAUUUUGCUCCUUUGAAUCACAGCUGGUGUCCUUUUGGGUGCAUCAGACGUGUUUGCUUCUGUCCUGGAGGCCGACAUUCAGCCAUCAUGGCCGUGGCUAAGGUCUCCAUCCUUGCCAUAUAGACUGGAGUCUGCAGCAGUAGGGCUUAGAACUUGAUACAAGCCUGAAGGGAGAGUUAUGAGCACAGUGACUGACAGCUCACGACUGUCUGAUAUGUCAGACCUCUGAGACCAGGUCUGGGAGGGAGGGUGAAUACAGUACCUGGGGAGCAGUCCCUUCCCUUCCUCCUGCUGGGGGGCAGUGGGGCUGGGCCUGUCCCUGCUGCCCACCCUGCCCUCCAGAGCACAGCUGCCCCUGCGGUUUCCGGGAAUCCCCGCCUGUAUGUGGUUUCUUAACCAGUCCUGCAAAAAUGUAUUUUUUAUUGAAUGUUAUUCUAGCCAUAAAACUUUUAAGCUGUUCAAAUACUUUCCUUUGUGCAGUAGACAUCUGAGACUAUUAGGCAUUAACAAGUAAAUGUACUUUUUUUUUUUCAACUGCUUCAAUCUGCUAAGGAGUUUUCUUUGGACUGAUUCUCCUCUAGUGUUGUACCAGAGGAAACAUUACUGUGAUCUGAUAUCAUAUCUCCUCACUAUCUGUCUCCUCAGAUUGCAGAUGUGGAUGUGUUUUAUGUUGAAUUACAAAGGGACUUUAUUUUGUGGUAACCAGUUAGGUCAAACAGCUCACCCAUGGUCCAGAAGUGCUUAAAGCCCAGAGGUACCGAUGUGAUUCACGGCAGUCCCUCUGUAGAGCCCAUAGAGUGUGGGGUGAGAGCGUGGGCUUCAGUAAAUCUCAGCUGGAAGAUUUUAGGAGGUGAAUUUCACUAUUUCUUGAGCUAUUUAAUAAUGACUAUAAUCCAUUUUUUAACACCUGUCACAGGAGCUUCAUGUCACUGGAGCUGUUGACUUUAAUGUACUUCAUUACUUGUAUAACGGCAUCAUCUGUUGUUGGCAUCCAAUUAAGUGACAAACAGUGAGAAGGAUCCUGCCCCAAACUGUAUGAGACAGGAAGCAAGCAGCAUUCUUGUAGUUGUGCAAACAGUUAAAGCAGUGCCAAAAUUUGCUUAACAUAUUCCGGAUCUUAUUGAAAUGCUUGGCCUAGUAUGGUUAACUAUACACCUGAAUUGGGCUGUAGACGCUUAUUUCAUUGGCCUGAUAUUCCUGUUGGUAUUCCUGUUGAGGGGACUCUUUUCUUGGGGUUUCAGGAAAGCUCCUUGCUGGGGUUGCUGGGAUCAGUUCUGCCCCGACCACCCACAGCCCAGGCAGCAUCGCUCUCAAGUAAGGCUCAUUCCAUAGCAGGUGCCAGAGGCUUGCCCAGGGCAGGCUGCUCUCAGCCUGUGGAAGAAAGCUGUGUAACACCUCUUAAUCUGUACGUAAUGGUUUGGAUAAGGAAACUGGUAAUCUGAAAACAUUUAUCUGGUGAUGCUUUUGAUUCGUAUGCCUGAGUGAAAUAUUGUGAACUGCUCCCAGUCCUGUAAAUGCAAGGCAAUUAGACUAUGAGGUGAAGUAUAAAGAGGAAUUUGAAGAGCACCAUGCCAGUGAUAAAACCCGUAAAACCCUUGCACAUCCAUCACCUGUGUUGUGGAUGCAGUUCUAAUCCCUGUAUUUUAAGAAGGGCAUUGGGGAAUUAAGAGGCAUUACAGUAAAGAUGAUCGUGGGGCUGAGGCAGCUGUUUUGGGGGGGAGAUGAGGGGUGGUUGUUGGGCAAGGCAGACCCAACAGGGCACUUGUGAUUUCAGCCUGCAGCAACAUAGGUAAAGUAGCUCUCUUCUCUGUUGGACAGAAUGACUGGAGGAGAAUUCUUGGGCCUUUUAUUCAUUAUUUACAUGGCUUUUGUGUCUGCUGGCGUAGUGUAGCGUAACCCAGAAUGCGUAAAAUACAGUGAAGUUGAAAUAUGUGUGAAUUUAAUGCCUGAGAAACAUAAAUCAUGUCAUGCAGGUGAGAUGCAUUGACUGAAUCAAAUGCACUGAACUUCAGAGCCAGUCCUUCUUUGGAAGCACGUUAAGAACUGUCCACUCCACUCUUCUCAGGGCAUUGUUGUGUGCUCUACCAAAUGAGAUUCUCAAUUCUUCUUGGAAAAAAAAAAGAUUUUUGUUUCCUAUUCUGUCUUCGAGUCCAUCUUUGCAAAGAAGCAACAAGUCUCUGAGAGGGGGAGAUGCUGGUGAGGCUUCAUCUAAAUCAGGCAGGUUUAUAAGACCAGGAGGGAAAACACAUUUUCAGACACGGUCAAACAGAGGAGCUGGAUGAUUUCGUCUUUGUCCAUUCAUAACAAUGACGGAACAGAAACUAAAAGUUGAGCUUAAAAGAGCAAAAGCUUUGGAAAGGAAACUUGCUCAUGGCUUCAGAGCUGGCUUGGAGUAUGUAGGCAGGAAGCCUGGAGCUUUGUAUGGGAGUUUGGUUUAACCCUAUGAAAAACAUCAUGGAAGAGAGCUGUGGGAACUUCAGCAGUUUUCUGCAGAGUUGAACUAGGAAAGCCAGGAUAGGUUUAAGCAUCAAGGCAGUUUUUUUUUUUUUCCAGGAAAGCAGAGUUCUAAAAUAACACCUCAGAGGUGUUUGUAGCAUUGGAUUUUUCAUUCUUAACUUCUUAUUCAAGAAAAAACUUUGAUUGUUAUGUGUAGGAUUUUCAGUGUUUGUAGCUUAUUACUUGUUUUGCAUGUGAACAAUUUCAGUCAACACCUAAAAAUUUGUUUAUGACAGUUUUGCCACCUGUCCAGUGGGAACUGCUUGACUUUUUAACCAGCCGUUGACUUGCAGAACUGCUUCCAUAAGAUGCAGAAAGGAUUGGAAGGUGUUUUCCUACAGACAGAUUACAGCAACAUCUUUAAUUUCAAGCCUGUUAGCAGCUGAUAGCCUGUUAUCCCAUAGCCUUUACACAGACCUUGACUCUCAUAACCCUCACAAUUAUUCUUCAUCCCACAAAUGUUAAUAUUUACUAUAUAGUCAAUCUCCAAACCACAGGGAGUCAUUUGCAUGCGUGGUAUCACUUGCACUUCAACUAAAUAAAACCAUUAACCUUUCACUGAUACACUUAGGUCAUAGAAGUCACACUUGUAUGGGUUGUGUAGUUUGGGUUAACGCUGUAACAUUCCCUUCUCACCCUUACAGUACAGCACCUCCUGAGCGUGGCAGCCCUGACACUGAUGCUGAACUUGUGUGCCCUGUCCCAGGCGGGGACUGGCACUGGAGCAGGUCGCACUGAGCCAUAAUUGUAAAUUCUCUGGGGCUGGAGUCACCAGCCAGUAAUCCUCUAUGCACAGGCUCCCCCUUAUGGAAAUGAAAGAUACUAAACAAUGCUUUUUUCCUCUUGUCUCAGACAAAACUAAUAGUUUAUUACUGUGAAGACACUUCUCAAGCCUGCAGUAGUACUUUUCAACUUAAAGUUUUAAGUUCGGGUGAUGAUGGAAUGGAUGUAGGCUCACCGUGGCAAACAUGAAUGAUGAUGACGCAUGUAUGUGUUUAUACUCAAAGUGAUAAGAGCUCCUUUGGAGGCUGGAAUUUCUUGUGAUUUCCUGAUGGUGAAGAAGGGAACAGGAGCUCUUCAGAUGUUAAGAGAUGCUGCAGAGUAAAUCCUAGCUGUAGCCUCCUCUGUCUUCAGAGGAGCAAAAGAAAGUCAGUGGGAUCAAAUAAUUUAGUUCUGGAAUAGUUAUAUUUUGAUGCUCUACAGUGGAUAUUUUGGAUUGGAUCCUGAUGGAUCAGAACCAUUGGAAGAGUUAGAAAUAGACACCGUGGAUUUUUCCCUUAGCCAAUUCUAGUAAAAAGUUUCAAGUUGUUCCAGUGAGACACACCAUGUGUAGAUUUAGAUAUGCUCUUGCCUUCUUACUUUUAUUUUGCGUGAAAGAUGGUUCCCAGCUUCAUGAAAGCUAUGUGAGAGCAGUUACAGUUCUGUGCUCAGCCUAUUCUGACACUCUAGCACAUGUGCAUGACAACAGUAGGCUAGACAGAGCUUUGGAUUUGCUCAGUGGGGCAGUUCUUGUGACUGCAGGAUAUCUCCUAGUGCCAAAGUACCAUAGUUGGAGCUGAUGCUGAUCAGCAUCAUCUCACUGAUGUCCUGUGUUCUGGUGAGAGGCUCUGAUAGCUUGUGUGAGUUGGGGUGACAGAGCAGUUCUUUCUUUUGCGAGACCAACUUUCUGUUGGCGUAAGCCAUAUAAAUGGGUGUUGUUCAGACAACACCUGAAGGGUCUGCCUGGCUCCCUAACAUCAAAAUCACAUGGGGAGAUUGCUUAAACAUUUAAAGUACUGUUGAAGGUACAUUAUUAGUAACAACAAAUAGUAUUGUUAGUUUUUAUAGUGCUAGUAUUAAUAGUAUCAAACACAUUUAGAAUAUAUUGAAGUUGCUGGUCUGGGCCCUCACCUCACAGAUGAAGUCAUUCCUGUACCAGAGAGAACAGGAGGCACACGUGUCCCAGGGCAGGAUCUGAACUGGAGAGGCACAUACUGGUUUUGCUUUUUUUUCCCCCCCCAUUUUUAGAUUUUAUUAGUAUUAUUGAUUUGUAUUGUUCUUCUAACUUGUUUAUUACCCAGUUUUGAAACCAAGAUCCUAGUGGAGCUACUGGAGUGGACUUUCAUGCUGAACUUGAGUCCUUCUUCCCAUCCAAACUAAAGUAUUCUGCAAGGCAUGGCUCACACAGUGCUUGCAGCCUUUCUGCUUUGCCCGUGUGCUGAAUGAGGUUCAGGCCUUUGUGGGCUCAAUGUGAUGCCCUCCUGUGUUCCUGGUCUCAUUUCAAUGCUGCUAGGGAAAUUGAUUUUAAUUACACAUGCUGCUGAUCACCUAAUCUCAUAAGGGGACAUGGCUGAGAAAUAAAGAACCCAGAAAAAGGAAACUAAUUUAUGCACUCUGGGGACAGGAGGAGUGAUUUGAGUGGUGCAUGGGAAGAGGAGUGCUGGAGAGCAAAAAGAAGCUGAGAUGAUGGAUGGUGUGAUUAAAAACUCUGAUGUUUCUCAGUACAUUCUCCCUUCAUUUGCUUAAAGCAAACACCAUUUCAGUUUUCUCUGGCGGCAUCUUUGGGUUUUAUUUUAUGCAGUCAUUUUUAAUGUACUUUGCUAUCUGGCCUUGCAGUUGUAGGCUGUGUUCUGCAAACCCAACUGAACCAAACUGACAGUGGAGGGCCCAUUGCCUGAGCAGCACAGUUCCAGUUUUGUGUUUGAGAUCAGUUCUCAAGCACAGGGAUUGCACUGCAAAGGCACUCGGGGGGACCGUGAUGCCACCCAGACAAGUCUCAGUGUGCCCAGUUUCUCCGUCCCUCAGCGGUCCUCUCUGCCCAGCACCGAGCAAAGGCCGUGCCCGCAGCCUGCCAGGCUGCCGUAUGCCCGAGUCCCUCCCCGGGGCUGAGGCCUGUGCUGGGCCUCACCCCGCGGGGCAGAGCCGUUCCCUCUGGGGAGAGCGGAGGGGACCCGGCAGGCCCAGGGCAGACUUAGGAGUGCUGACAGUGGAGAGGCGCUGACUGCUUUGGCUUUAGAAAAGAGCUUUAGGUCUUUAUUAUCGUUACAAUUUGGUACUGUCCUUUUGAAUUGCUUCUUGUCCUGGUUUGACACAAAAGUCCCAGUGGAGCAGCUGGAAUGGACCUUCAUGCUGAACGCGAGUCCUUCUUCCUGUCCAAACCAAAGUCUUCUGCUUCUCCAAUGGAAGCUGCCUCUGGACCUUCUCUGGUGCUGCCUGGAGGCUGCAGGAGCUCGGUGCCGUCUGCUGGGCUCCUCCCAUUGUCCCGGCACAGCAGCUGACAGGACAUCAGUCCCAGUGCUGCCCUCUUCUUCAGGGCUCCCCUGGAGGCUGCACGGAGGUCAGGGCUGUCCGCUGGACUCCUCCCAUUGUCCCUGUGAGGAAGCAUAGAGGACACCAUUGCCAGCCAUGCCUUAUUCCUCAGGGCUCCCCUGGAGGCCCCAGGGAGCUCAGGGCCAUCCACUGGACUCCUGUUAUCCCAGUGCAGAAGCUUAGAGGACUCCAGUCCCCGUUCUACCCUCUUCCUGAGGUCUCACCUGGAGGCCGUGGGGAGCUCAGGGCUGUCCACUGGACUCUUUUCAUUGUCUUGGUGCAGAAGCAAAGAGGACACCAAUCCCAGUCCUGCCCUGUAAUGGAAAUGCUAAGUCAUGGCCUGAAGUAGUGAUUGAGCACAUGGUGAGAAGGCAGGGCCAUCCCAGGGGAGCUCAGGUGCAAGCAAUGCUCCUGAGUGACUGGAAGGGGUCAAGCCAGGAUCCACCCCUUCCCAGACCUCACUUAAGGGUUGGCAGUGGAGGUAAGAGCAUCUCUUCCCUGAGAUCCCUGCCUUACCUGAGGCCUUCCAAAGCCAGAAAUUUCAGACUGUAUGACAGUGUAUGCAAAUAAUGGCACUGACAGUGAGACGAGCCUGCUUAUCUCUCCUGGCAUAAUUACACCUGGCAUCACUUUCUUGCAAGUCUUCUCAGAUUAAAUAGCACCACCUGGAAAGGAGAAUACUCAAGUUCAGUUACUAGCACAACAGCUGGAGUCCUUACGUGAGCCAAGCCGAAACUACUGAGUGCCCCUGGCUUCUUUGGGUGGCAAGAUGCAUGCCGUGCAGCAUGUCUUUAUGCACCAAGAGCAGCUGACUGAGCAGAAUCAGGCAAGGGAGAAAUGGUGUGACACUGUCGAGCAGAGGCUUAGAAGCCCUGAGGAAGGUCUGCUUGAGCCCCUGCCCAGAGCCUUCAUCUCUUUUGUAUGUAAAGCUCCAGUGAGCUCUUCCAUGGGUUUGCUUCCAUUCAACUUUGUGCAGAAUUGCUUUCUGUAAUUGUUGCCUUUAGCAGGAUUUCACUGGGGGCCAGCAGUGCUAAGCACCAACCUGACAUCUCAGCAAGGAGGCAAACGGCAGUGCUGGAUUUCCUUCAGUAAAAAGCUUUGUUGUUCGUUGAUGUAAGUGGAGAAAGCUAAUGGAAUUGGAGGAUGGAAAAUACCUGCCAGGUCAUCUUGUCAGCCCUUCUGCCCACAGAGGGCUUUUCCUAAAGUAUCUUCUUGAGAAUAUUGAUGGCUCUAGUUAUAAAAUCAUCCAAGUAACAGGGCUUGUGUGGCUUUCCUGGGCCAGACAAGGUGUGCUCUUGGAUAACUUUCCUUGUCUCAGAGCUUUCCCUGUCACUUUUAUUAAUGAGUUUUUGCUUUAGCACUAUGAUACUUUUCUGAUUUUCACUGAUUCACACAUUGGAGGGCCUCUGGAGACCGCUAGCCUUACAGCUCGACCCCCUCCUGACGUUCUGGAAUCAAUUUGAUGCAUAUUUCUCGGGCUUUGUUUGACAAAAACCCACUGUGUUUGCAGCUUAGGCCAAACAUCUCAUGAAUCACUUGAAUAACAACUGGGAGAAGAUUCCAGUUCAGGGCAUCGGAGCAGCAGUGGCUCUGCCACCCCAUUGCCCAGCCUUUGGCACCUGUGCAGCUGUAGAUGCAGGCAGCAGGGCGGUGCUGCAUGGGGUCGGUCUGCAUCACCCUGCCUGAAAAUGGCCUUCAGGCAGACAUUGCUUUUUCUCUGUCACCUGAGCACAGGGAUGAUCUCCAGCACAGCAUUCACUGCCCUUACACUACCUCAUGCUACGCUCUGCAGUGCCGAGGAGAGCGGAGCAAUGCUCUUUAAGGGCUGUUAGUGCUGAGGCAUGCAGAGCACGUGGGACUUGCUCUCUUCCCACGGCAGUGACUGACUAAGCUGGGUUAGGGUAGCCCAGAGCCACGCACUGAGCCAUCCCACCCCUGGCCGGUGGUGCACACAGCACUGGUGAUGAUGUGAGCUGUGGUGCAGAGCAGAGCCCAAGCACAGGAGCAGAGCGGGGUCCAGCUACAGCGUCCAGGCUGUCGUGCCAAGGUACCGCAGAGGCUCCGACCGCAAGUACAUAUUGCUGGCAGGACAACAGCAGUGAGAAAAACAGUCCCCAAGCAGUAAAUUGGGCAAAGCUCUCGAUAUAAUGGAAAAAUACAGAUGCAUCUGCAUUAGAGUGUAAGACCUCUAACAAGUUAUUUCUAUCCCCCCCAUUUCCUGCUAGUGUGGCUUUCCUAGAAAUGGACACCGAGUCCUCGUUAAUGGACCCAACUGGGGCCUCUGCCUGUACUGCCUUUCACUCACCUGCCUGGAUGCCCCAUUUAUUCCUGGAACUGCAGCACUGGGAAAAUAGCACUUUAAAGGGCUCUCGCUGAAUUCUGUGGUUGAAAACCAUGUGAAGUGAGCUGAAGAAAUGAAAACUGCAAGCUCACCAGGAUGCUCUCCUGUUGAAAACUGCCAACCACUGCACGCACCUCCAGCCACUCUACCCUUCUCCAUUUGGACUUUGGACCGUUUGGCUGUUUGCAGCCAAGCUGGGAAGAGGAGUGGAAGUCAUGGAGGCAGCUCCCAGGUUCAUCAGAACAGGUCCCGCUGCAGAUGAGAUGCCGGAGAGAGCCCAUGGAGGCAGGGAGGAGUGAGAGAGCACAGCUGUGACAGCAACCAGGGAGCAGCUUGGCACAGCGCUGGGCUUCACCGAGCCUGCACCGCAUCACCGCACUGCUUCCCUUCUCAGUGUCUUUCUGAAUGCAUGUUGAAAUAGAAGGCAAGUUCUGGACAGAGGCACAUCUUUCAGUACGCCUGUGCAGAGCCCAGUGUAACACACUUCUGAUAUCAGGUGACUGCUGUAAUAAGCAGCUAUACGGACUGCUGGCCCGAUCCAUUCUCAUACAACAGGAAUUCUCCUGCUUUGUCUUUUUUUAAUCAGUAAUUCAAAAAGAUACUUCCCUGGAAUUGCUGUAAUGGCUGAAAAUGACUGAUCUGUCCUCGUCAGUAUUUCUUUUCCUCCUCCUUUCUGAACACUUCUCCCUGUUGUGCUGGUAAUGCUCGUCUGUAUGCAGCUUUCCUUACAUUUUGGCAGACAUGGGGAAUUUCAGCAGCAGUAAAUUUGAAUGGAUAGAAUUAAGAAGGAAGACAGCUUUCUGGAACACAGAGCAAGGCUUUGGGUUUUUUUUUUUCUUUUUCUUUUUUUUUUUUCCCUAGAUAUAUCAUCUAUGAAUUCUCACCUGGGACUGCUUUUAUAUAGAAAAAAAUCAUGUGCCUAAAUGUCUAUUGGCUGCACCUGGAAUUGAAAGUAGCCUUCUGCUUCAGUCGUAUUUCUUAGUUGCCUGUCCCUGGAAGGAGCUCUCAGGAUCAAACUUUGACUUGUCAGAUUUUAUUCCCCUGGCCUUUUGCUCCCUGUGAACAUGAUAUUCAAUAACUUGUUGUAGUAAGCAGUUGGACUAGGCAUGAAGUACCCAUUUCUCUCUGUUGUCUAGCAGUGUAAAAUAGCUUGAUUCUGGGUGCAAGUGGGUGUAAAUCCACUUUUGUGGGAUCACACUGAUCUGUGCCAGCAGAACUGUGAGCUGAGCCAUCCCCUUGCACCCUGAGCCAGGCCUGCUUCCUGCCUCCAGCAUGUGCUCCUUUGUUCCCUGGGCUUCCUUCAGAUCAUCCUUCUUACCGGGGUAACCAUAUACUUCCCUGUGUGCCGUGCAGGAGGAAUGCUGUGGGCAGCUUUCUAAUCCCUGAGCAAAGCUGGAGGCAGCACCUAGUAUAUCACAUCUCCAUGCACUAAACGCGGCCUGCUCUGCGUGGCCCCUCUAGGCCUGGCCUGCCCGCUUGACAUCUCCUCAACCUGGGGGCAUCUCUCACUCCCCGGAGCCCCUGCUGUACCCCAGCACACCUUACGUUAGGAAUACUUUCCAGAUGUUUGUCUCAAAUUGGACUCUGCUGGCUUCCUCCCCUUUUCUCCUAGCUGAACCCAGUUGCUUUGAGGAGGCUUUUCAACGGCAGUGCUUUUAAGCCAAAGCAUUGCAGGCUGGUAGCGCCACAGGAAGUAUUUUCACCAGUUCUGAAACAAUUAGUGACUACAGGAGUCCAGAAGGCCCACGGGAGGAGUUGGCAUCCAUGAGGGCUUGCAGCCUGCAGAGACGGGCCUUCCUCCCGCAGCACUCCUCCUCUCACCAGGCUCCUGGGCCCAGUGUGGUGUGCAGCAAUGCCGUGCCUCUUCGGGUCCUUGUCCUCACUUACAGCCCUGUGCAGCAGUGGGUCCUGGAGACAUAAAGCAGCGUGAUGCCACAAAUAUGAGCUGGGUCCCGUGCAUGUCAGGACCGUGCUGCUGUGAGGCCUAUGGUGG